This 97-nucleotide small RNA is filed under the name Sinorhizobium meliloti 2011. Its description in RNAcentral is "putative ncRNA". The record is from RNAcentral. Lineage: Bacteria; Pseudomonadati; Pseudomonadota; Alphaproteobacteria; Hyphomicrobiales; Rhizobiaceae.
GGCGUUCUACUGCGUUGCGGGUGUAGUUGGUGCUUUCGCGAUCGUAGCCAUAGGCCAGCAGGCUCCCGCGCGACGGCCACGUCGCGAGCACCGGAAC